Molecule: ribosomal RNA, 465 nt
Filed under: uncultured bacterium
Lineage: Bacteria
Description: partial 16S ribosomal RNA
Rfam family: Bacterial small subunit ribosomal RNA
Source: RNAcentral
CCUACGGGAGGCAGCAGUGGGGAAUAUUGCGCAAUGGGCGAAAGCCUGACGCAGCGACGCCGCGUGAGGGAUGAAGGUCUUCGGAUCGUAAACAUCUGUCAGCAGGGAAGAACGGUCACUGUGCUAAUCAGCAGUGAAUUGACGGUACCUGCAAAGGAAGCACCGGCUAACUCCGUGCCAGCAGCCGCGGUAAUAAGGAGGGUUCGAGCGUUAAUCGGAAUUACUGGGCGUAAAGCGCUCGUAGGCGGUAUGGCAAGUCAAGGGUGAAAUCCCCGCGCUCAACGUGGGAACUGCCUUUGAAACGGGCAAACUGGAGUGUGUGAGAGGAUAGUGGAAUUCCAGGUGUAGGAGUGAACUCCGUAGAUAUCUGGAGGAACAUCAGUGGCGAAGGCGACUAUCUGGCACAUAACUGACGCUGAGGAGCGAAAGCGUGGGUAGCAAACAGGAUUAGAUACCCCAGUAGUC